GAUGGGCUGGAGCUCAGUGUCCCCCUGAUACUGCAGCUCAAACCUUCGUAAGCCAUUUAUGAUCUAGAAGUGGGAAAAGAAACACCUCAUCUUGCAGCUCCCACCUGAAACACCUUUUUACUGGCACCUCUGUUAGCCCCAGGCAGCGAAGGUUCCAGCCCACGAUGAUGCCAUCCAGGCUGCCAAAAAUGCUCUCCACCAGCCACGGGAAGAUGCCAUGUAGUUCCUGCAGGGAAAACAGACACAAAGAAUUAAUGUGCACAAUUCCUGACUUGGACAAUCUCUCCUGCAUGUACUAGAACACACAGAGAUAUGUCAGCCAUUAAUUUAUGUCUGUUUCUGGGUUAUCACAGGGCAUGUCAUCCAUUCAAAACAUUGCACUAUAACAUGGCAAUCAUGGGAGACCUA
Haemorhous mexicanus (house finch) is the source of this 408-nucleotide long non-coding RNA. RefSeq lists it as uncharacterized. The record is from RefSeq and is a predicted model, not a curated record. The transcript is spliced from 2 exons. Lineage: Eukaryota; Metazoa; Chordata; Aves; Passeriformes; Fringillidae.